RNAcentral lists this transfer RNA (63 nucleotides) under Marmota marmota marmota (Alpine marmot). It matches the Rfam family "tRNA", at positions 5 to 66 of the family's 71-position model. Rfam says of the family: Transfer RNA (tRNA) molecules are approximately 80 nucleotides in length. The record is from Rfam by way of RNAcentral. Lineage: Eukaryota; Metazoa; Chordata; Mammalia; Rodentia; Sciuridae. RNAcentral also lists the same sequence under 3 other names.
AUGUAGCUCAGUGGUAGAGCACUUGCCUAGCAUGUUUGAAGCCCUGGGUUCAGUCCCCAGUAU